RNAcentral lists this ribosomal RNA (545 nucleotides) under uncultured Polaromonas sp. Its description in RNAcentral is "bacterial SSU rRNA". It matches the Rfam family "Bacterial small subunit ribosomal RNA", at positions 379 to 918 of the family's 1533-position model. Lineage: Bacteria; Pseudomonadati; Pseudomonadota; Betaproteobacteria; Burkholderiales; Comamonadaceae. The record is from RNAcentral.
AAGCCUGAUCAGCAAUGCCGCGUGCAGGAAGAAGGCCUUCGGGUUGUAAACUGCUUUUGUACGGAACGAAACGGCUCUUUCUAAUAAAGAGGGCUAAUGACGGUACCGUAAGAAUAAGCACCGGCUAACUACGUGCCAGCAGCCGCGGUAAUACGUAGGGUGCGAGCGUUAAUCGGAAUUACUGGGCGUAAAGCGUGCGCAGGCGGUUAUAUAAGACAGUUGUGAAAUCCCCGGGCUCAACCUGGGAAUUGCAUCUGUGACUGUAUAGCUAGAGUACGGUAGAGGGGGAUGGAAUUCCGCGUGUAGCAGUGAAAUGCGUAGAUAUGCGGAGGAACACCGAUGGCGAAGGCAAUCCCCUGGACCUGUACUGACGCUCAUGCACGAAAGCGUGGGGAGCAAACAGGAUUAGAUACCCUGGUAGUCCACGCCCUAAACGAUGUCAACUGGUUGUUGGGUGCAUUAGUACUCAGUAACGAAGCUAACGCGUGAAGUUGACCGCCUGGGGAGUACGGCCGCAAGGUUGAAACUCAAAGAAAUUGACGGAG